Molecule: long non-coding RNA, 2613 nt
Organism: Vespa velutina
Lineage: Eukaryota; Metazoa; Arthropoda; Insecta; Hymenoptera; Vespidae
Exons: 4
Source: RefSeq, a predicted model, not a curated record
GAAAAUUAUUUUUAUCAAUUAACAGCAGAAAAAGAUUCGAAAAAAACAGAAACAAAUUUUAUCUUAAUUAAAAUGUUGCGUCAUUUUGGAUUUCUUUUACAUUAGAAUAUAUGUAUAUUUAGCGAAUAGAUACGUCUAUGCGUAUAUAUAAGACGAUAAUAUUGUACAUAAAAAAAGGGCAUGAUAUAACACUAAUCUAAAAUCCAUAUAAUCUCUUCGAAUGAACCACCUUUCGUCCAUGACACAGAUUUAAGGUAAAAAAAAAAAGAUGUAACAUAAAAAGUCUGAAGUUUCCGAGCAAGAAAUCGUAUUUCUUUAUUGAAUUAUUCUUUCUAUGUAGGUAACUCAAUGAAUCAUCUGCAUGUACGUUUCUAUUCUUUUUCAUUGUUCAUCGAUUAUCAUAGUGAUUUCUAUUGUCGAUAGGGUAUACUCGAUUGAACAAUGAAUUGCUUUUACAUCGUUCAAGAAUCGUUGGAUAUUUCGUAACGAGUCCUUUCUUCACGCACCAAGGUGAACCUCUUUGACCGCGUUUUUUCCUUUCUUUCUUUUUCUUGUUUGUUUCUUUUUUUCCCUUUCUUUUCUUUUAUUAUUCUUUCGUUUUUAAAGAGAGGAAGAAAAGUUUCUUCCUAACGUAAAUUUUCGAACGAUAUAAAAUCGAUGAUAUUUCACUCACCCACAUCGCGAUAUCCAAGUUAAAGAAGAAGACGCCGAUCUUGACAGUAACAAAAAUCGAGACAAUAUUUGAAUGAAAAGUUAUAUCGUGGGGAGUUAUAUACCACGGAAGCGGUCGAAAUAAAACGAUAAAUCAAAAUAAUAUUUUGUUAUACCUCAAUGCAUCCCAAUGCAUUUUUGAUACUCUUAAACCUGGGAAAGUGAAAAGAGAUACAAUAAAUCCACACCAUAGAGCAAGGAAGAACUUCACAACAAUUUUUGAUGCAGGACCCCUACAAUAUAAAUUCGUUAGAUCAAAUAUGCAGAUUCCUCUUGUUUAAUAGUACUAUGCAAAAGCAGUAUGUCUCCUUGGGCAUCCAAAUACUACUGGCUUACGUAGAAGAAAGGCCUUGAUUGUCUAAAAACAAGGAGGCGCUGUGGUUAAAGCUCGUAUAUGCUUUCUCCAGUCCAAUCUCAAGAGUUUUUUCAUCUAUAAUUAGCACAAUCAUAGCUAUUAGAAGAUAUGUAAAUCCAGAAACAAUGCACGUAGAUCUUUCACCAACACUUUCUUCUCCCUUGAAAUAUCGUAUCCAAAAUGAAAGUAAUACCUUACUAUGAUUUAUUUAAGAAAGGUAAACCAGCAAGGAUUCUAAGUUGCUGGUCCGUUGGAUGUAAAUAUCGAACCAAUCUGCGAAUGCAAAAAAAUAUCAAUGUUCCAAGAAAAUUCUUGUUUAUUUUUGGGCUUACCCGGUGGAACAUAACAUCCAUCUUGCUAAUGAAAAAUGUGGAGUUAAUUUUUGAAUGACACUGACCAUAAUAAUAGUAAUAGCGAGUUGUGCACCUAACAGAGCCUACAAAUUAACAUACAAUAUAUUUUCAGUUACAUAUACAUCGUUUUUAUAAAUGUAAAGGAAUUUGUUUACAGUCAGCAAUACAUAGUAGUUUUUCUUAUCAGAAAAUGAUGGCUAACAAAUGCAAAAAAAAAAAGAAUAUGUAAUCGUUGCAUGAAAUUUACCAUGUUUAUUGUAAUAAUUCCUAAAUAUAACUAAUUCAUAAAUUUCACAAGAAUGAUUGUCUCGUGGCACGAGUAAUGUUUUUAUUCGACGAAAUAAGUAAAUCCUGAAAGAACAAUGUUGAAUUAUUUUCAAUUUAAAGCCGAUAAAGUAUAUUACACCAGUUUAAAUAGCACGCACAGUCAACCAGCUAACUUUAUAAAUAGUUAUAAGCUGAUGAACACAUAAUGCCAAACGCAUUGGGUUCUUCGAAUGUCAUAUACGAGGUUAUUCCAAAUUAUAUCCUAUCUACAAGCAAAAGAGAGAGAAAGAAAAACAUUUUAAAAUGUCGGUAUCGGCAGUAGUGACCUCUAUUAAGUAUCUUAGAAAACAUCUAUUAAAAAAAUCAUACUCUAUCGAUAUCCAAUUUGAAUACGAAUUUUAUAUUCGAUCUAGACUGAAAUAGAUCACCUAGAUCUUAUUUUUUUAGACAUAACAUUUAUUUUUGGAAUGAAUUUACGAUCACGUAUUUUAUCGAGAAAGAUAUAAUAGAAUGAUAUUUCCAAAGUUAUACGUUUAAAAAGAAAUGGAACGUAUCGUAACUCUUUUUAGCAAAAUUGUACUUAAAAAUUCUCCAAAUUUUAAUAGUAAUACAAUUACUUUCAAUGUUUUUUGUCAACACAUCUAUUAAAACCAUUUGCGUAAUACCCGCAGACAAAUAAAUGAGAACUUUAUAAUAAACCAUACCAAUGGUGGUAUGAAGAUAAAGUAAGCGUUAGAAAUGAAAUAAUCGGGGAUGUUGAAACACUUAAUAGCUUUGUCAUGGAUGAUUAAAUUUACACUUGAACGGUUCAGGCUGAAUUCUCGAGAAAUGAAAAAUAUUUUACAUAAAUUUAAAAAUAAUCAAUCGAUCAUUCUGGUUUAAGUGAAUAAUACGCGGAAAUAUCUUGGAAUUGAUGUAGUAAUAUUA